UUUAACACUUGGAAUAUGGAUGAACAGAAAACAUUAGUCCACCCUCGCCUUAUCACCCUCACAGACCCAACAGGCCAACGAUCAAAUCACCUGCAACUUCUAUUCUCUUUUGCGUAGAAAAUCUGGGUAUAAUUCAUCUGUUAUACAGAGAUUAAAGAAAGAACAGAGCACAUAGAGAGAUGUGUACGGCAGCUGAUUCUUUCCUAUCUGCCGCCACCAGUUUUGGCUGCCGAUGAUGCUAAAUUUAUAUUUUCAACAUGUUUAACAAGGAAGAGGCUGUGUCAGCAUCUCCAACAAAUCUCAGCAGUUGCUGCAUAGUUUUGACUUCAAUAAAGUACAUGAUGGCCAACUAGUUCCAUGGCUGGGGAAAUUUGUUGCAAGAUUGAUGUGCAUUCCGUCACAAAGUAUUUUCCAUCCCCCGGAAUCUCCUUUUUGCAGCCUCCUCCUCAUGGACCUGAAACAUCACGGUUCUCAGUUCCAAAUGCAGUAGAUGAUCAAUCAAAUUUGUCAAGCAAUGAGCAAGCAGCAUCUAAACAUCUCAAGGACAUCCAUAUGUCAGGAUGCCUGAUGGAGGAUUUUCUUACUGCUGCUAGGGAGAACACUGAGAAAAAUCUUGAGACAUGUGGAGUUCUUGGCGCCUUCCUUAAAGAUGGAACAUUCUACGUCACUACUCUCAUAAUUCCAAAACAGGAGGCCACCUCCAAUUCUUGUCAAGCAGUAAAUGAGGAGGAGAUUUAUGCCAUUCAAAACGAAGAGUCCCUAUUCCCUAUUGGGUGGAUUCAUACACAUCCAUCUCAGAGUUGUUUCAUGUCAUCAAUUGACCUGCACACCCAAUAUACUUAUCAGGUGAUGGUACCGGAAGCCGUGGGCAUUGUCAUGGCUCCAACCGACCAUUCGAGAAAAUGCGGAAUUUUCAGACUGUCCGACCCUGACGGGAUGAGCAUUCUGAGGGAAUGCCACGAAACGGGCUUUCACACUCACAGAGAAACAUCUAAUGGAAGCCCCAUUUACGAGGAUUCCACCAACAUCAUUUUCAACCCAAACCUGAGACUGGAAAUAUUCGAUCUGCGGUGAAAAUUUAACUCUCACGUAAAAUCCUGUCUGUAUCAUACAACUUUGUAUUCUGUGAGUUUUGCAUCAGAGAAGUGAGGCAAGUGAAUAGGUGAAUGGGGAGGUGGUGCCCCCUUUGUGAACAAUGCCGUACUGUACCGUUGGAUAUGAGAAGAGCAGCCCAUGUGCAUGAUUGUAAGGUUCUGCUGCAAGGAUGGUUGUGGACAAGAGAGUGAAACAAGUCGCUUAUCAUGGCAAGAAUAAUCAGGAUGUAUUAGUCAGAGGAAAGUUUUCUUCUUAUUUGUUAUAUGCUAAUGCUGCUGUUAGUAGUUCUUGAAGAACUUGGUUUGUUGCUAAGAGACCAAACUUAACUUGUAUAUCUCAAAUGGAGAAAUAAAGACGAGAGUUCUUGGUUGCGUUGAA
RNA transcript from Sesamum indicum (sesame), 1473 nucleotides. It is a transcript of the gene named associated molecule with the SH3 domain of STAM 2, with no coding region annotated. Lineage: Eukaryota; Viridiplantae; Streptophyta; Magnoliopsida; Lamiales; Pedaliaceae. The record is from RefSeq and is a predicted model, not a curated record.